CAGAUUUUUGUGUGUGUUACAUUCUUAAUGAAUUGUCUAAGAGCUGAAACUCUGUAAUAAUCUUUACCCUUUAUCUGGCAUUGUAUGCUCAGAUUUUUAUCAACAAAAAGUGGUGAGAAUGUUAUAAUUAAUUAGUUAUGACAUUAUAUUUUUGUGUUUUGUUGCAGAAACCAACUGUUGAGGUUCUAUCUCAACAUUCUCUAGAUUCAGAUGACAGCCAUAAACCGACUUCAUCCCUCCAACAGAUUGACAGCAGGACAAAUCGCUGGAAGUGGGUAUGUCUCAAGCUUCUUCCACUUGGUCCACUCCAAAGCGGGCUGCAAAGGGGAAGAAGUGGAAGCAGUUGAAUGACACAUGUUGCAUUUUGUAACUGGCAACAAAGUACCAGGUAAAAAAGAUUGUGAAGCCUCCCUCCAUAAAGAACUAGUAACUCUACAGGACAGAGAUUGGCUUGACAUCAAGUACUACAUCCAUAACAGAAUUAUAUUAAA
This is a long non-coding RNA of Nerophis ophidion (straightnose pipefish), 491 nucleotides long. RefSeq lists it as uncharacterized. The record is from RefSeq and is a predicted model, not a curated record. The transcript has 3 exons. Lineage: Eukaryota; Metazoa; Chordata; Actinopteri; Syngnathiformes; Syngnathidae.